RNAcentral lists this transfer RNA (82 nucleotides) under Candidatus Magasanikbacteria bacterium RIFOXYC2_FULL_42_28. RNAcentral describes it as "tRNA-Tyr". It matches the Rfam family "tRNA". From Rfam's summary of the family: Transfer RNA (tRNA) molecules are approximately 80 nucleotides in length. Their secondary structure includes four short double-helical elements and three loops (D, anti-codon, and T loops). Lineage: Bacteria; Candidatus Magasanikiibacteriota. The record is from RNAcentral.
GGGCAGGUACCGAAGCGGUCAAACGGGGUAGACUGUAAAUCUACUGGCUCUGCCUUCCAAGGUUCGAAUCCUUGCCUGCCCA